CGGAUUGGUCUGGCCUCGAAGCGGUUCCUGGAAAUAGCCCUCCAUGAGAUCGUACCCUAAACCGACACAGGUGGACUGGUAGAGCAUACCAAGGCGCUUGAGAGAACUGCGUUGAAGGAACUCGGCAAAAUGCCUCCGUAACUUCGGGAGAAGGAGGCCCCCGUCUGCGGGCAACCGUGGGCGGGGGGCACAAACUAGGGGGGUGGCGACUGUUUACUAAAAACACAGGUCUCUGCGAAGCCCAAAGGCGACGUAUAGGGACUGACGCCUGCCCGGUGCUGGAAGGUUAAAGGGAGGGGUGCAAGCUCCGAACUGAA
Molecule: ribosomal RNA, 317 nt
Filed under: Amaricoccus sp. HAR-UPW-R2A-40
Lineage: Bacteria; Pseudomonadati; Pseudomonadota; Alphaproteobacteria; Rhodobacterales; Paracoccaceae
Description: Bacterial large subunit ribosomal RNA
Rfam family: Bacterial large subunit ribosomal RNA
Source: Rfam by way of RNAcentral